AACGAACGCUGGCGGCAUGCCUAACACAUGCAAGUCGAACGAGACCUUCGGGUCUAGUGGCGCACGGGUGCGUAACGCGUGGGAACCUGCCCUUAGGUUCGGAAUAACUCCCCGAAAGGGGUGCUAAUACCGGAUAAUGUCUUCGGACCAAAGAUUUAUCGCCUUUGGGUGGGCCUGCGUUGGAUUAGCUAGUUGGUAGGGUAAAAGCCGACCAAGGCGACGAUCCAUAGCUGGUCUGAGAGGAUGAUCAGCCACACUGGGACUGAGACACGGCCCAGACUCCUACGGGAGGCAGCAGUGGGGAAUAUUGGACAAUGGGCGAAAGCCUGAUCCAGCAAUGCCGCGUGAGUGAUGAAGGCCUUAGGGUUGUAAAGCUCUUUUACCCGGGAUGAUAAUGACAGUACCGGGAGAAUAAGCUCCGGCUAACUCCGUG
This 433-nucleotide ribosomal RNA is filed under the name uncultured bacterium. RNAcentral describes it as "partial 16S ribosomal RNA". It matches the Rfam family "Bacterial small subunit ribosomal RNA", at positions 29 to 507 of the family's 1533-position model. The record is from RNAcentral.